UACGUAGGGUGCGAGCGUUGUCCGGAAUUAUUGGGCGUAAAGAGCUUGUAGGCGGUUUGUCGCGUCUGCUGUGAAGAUCCGGGGCUCAACCCCGGACUUGCAGUGGGUACGGGCAGACUAGAGUGUGGUAGGGGAGACUGGAAUUCCUGGUGUAGCGGUGAAAUGCGCAGAUAUCAGGAGGAACACCGAUGGCGAAGGCAGGUCUCUGGGCCACUACUGACGCUGAGAAGCGAAAGCAUGGGGAGCGAACAGGAUUAGA
RNAcentral lists this ribosomal RNA (259 nucleotides) under uncultured prokaryote. RNAcentral describes it as "partial 16S ribosomal RNA". It matches the Rfam family "Bacterial small subunit ribosomal RNA", at positions 524 to 782 of the family's 1533-position model. The record is from RNAcentral.